Molecule: non-coding RNA, 73 nt
Organism: Trichonephila clavipes
Lineage: Eukaryota; Metazoa; Arthropoda; Arachnida; Araneae; Nephilidae
Source: the annotation of a GenBank genome assembly
AUCCCUGUAGCACUAUAGACAAUGCAUUGAACUUCUAAUCCAAAGGUCGUGGUUUCGAAUCCCACCUGGGAUG